GACGAACGCUGGCGGCGUGCUUAGCACAUGCCAGUCGAACGGAAAGGCCCUGCUUUUGUGGGGUGCUCGAGUGGCGAACGGGUGAGUAACACGUGAGUAACCUGCCCUUGACUUUGGGAUAACUUCAGGAAACUGGGGCUAAUACCGGAUAGGAGCUCCUGCUGCAUGGUGGGGGUUGGAAAGUUUCGGCGGUUGGGGAUGGACUCGCGGCUUAUCAGCUUGUUGGUGGGGUAGUGGCUUACCAAGGCUUUGACGGGUAGCCGGCCUGAGAGGGUGACCGGCCACAUUGGGACUGAGAUACGGCCCAGACUCCUACGGGAGGCAGCAGUGGGGAAUAUUGCACAAUGGGCGGAAGCCUGAUGCAGCAACGCCGCGUGCGGGAUGACGGCCUUCGGGUUGUAGACCGCUUUCGCCUGUGACGAAGCGUGAGUGACGGUAAUGGGUAAAGAAGCACCGGCUAACUACGUG
This 468-nucleotide ribosomal RNA is filed under the name uncultured bacterium. RNAcentral describes it as "partial 16S ribosomal RNA". It matches the Rfam family "Bacterial small subunit ribosomal RNA", at positions 28 to 507 of the family's 1533-position model. The record is from RNAcentral.